UACGUAGGCAGCGAGCGUUGUUCGGAAUUACUGGGCGUAAAGAGUGUGUAGGCGGUGCUCCCAGUCUGUUGUGAAAUCUCCCGGCUUAACUGGGAGGGUGCAGCGGAAACUAGAGUGCUAGAGGGUGGGAGAGGUAAGCGGAAUUCCUGGUGUAGCGGUGAAAUGCGUAGAUAUCAGGAGGAACACCUGUGGUGUAGACAGCUUACUGGACCACUUCUGACGCUGAGACACGAAAGCGUGGUAGCAAACAGG
This 252-nucleotide ribosomal RNA is filed under the name uncultured bacterium. RNAcentral describes it as "partial 16S ribosomal RNA". It matches the Rfam family "Bacterial small subunit ribosomal RNA", at positions 524 to 776 of the family's 1533-position model. The record is from RNAcentral.